UAAGUAACCUGCCUUUCACAGGGGGAUAACUAUUGGAAACGAUAGCUAAUACCGCAUAGGUGCAACCAUCGCAUGGUGGAUGCAUUAAAGAUGCUACGGCAUUGGUAAGAGAUGGACUUAUGGCGCAUUAGCUAGUUGGUGAGGUAACGGCUCACCAAGGCGACGAUGCGUAGCCGACCUGAGAGGGUGACCGGCCACACUGGGACUGAGACACGGCCCAGACUCCUACGGGAGGCAGCAGUAGGGAAUUUUCGGCAAUGGGCGAAAGCCUGACCGAGCAACGCCGCGUGAAGGAAGAAGGUCUUCGGAUUGUAAACUUCUGUUAUAAAGGAAGAACGAAUAUUGGAGGGAAUGCCAGUAUUAUGACGGUACUUUAUCAGAAAGCCACGGCUAACUACGUGCCAGCAGCCGCGGUAAUACGUAGGUGGCAAGCGUUAUCCGGAAUUAUUGGGCGUAAAGAGGGAGCAGGCGGCAAUAAAGGUCUGCGGUGAAAGACUGAAGCUUAACUUCAGUAAGCCGUGGAAACCAAAUAGCUAGAGUGCAUUAGAGGAUCGUGGAAUUCCAUGUGUAGCGGUGAAAUGCGUAGAUAUAUGGAGGAACACCAGUGGCGAAGGCGACGAUCUGGGAUGCACUGACGCUC
RNAcentral lists this ribosomal RNA (640 nucleotides) under uncultured bacterium. Its description in RNAcentral is "bacterial SSU rRNA". It matches the Rfam family "Bacterial small subunit ribosomal RNA", at positions 118 to 748 of the family's 1533-position model. The record is from RNAcentral.